Molecule: ribosomal RNA, 478 nt
Filed under: uncultured bacterium
Lineage: Bacteria
Description: partial 16S ribosomal RNA
Rfam family: Bacterial small subunit ribosomal RNA
Source: RNAcentral
GACGAACGCUGGCGGCGUGCUUAACACAUGCAAGUUGAACGGUAAGGCCCUUCGGGGUACACGAGUGGCGAACGGGUGAGUAACACGUGGGUGAUCUGCCCUGCACUUCGGGAUAAGCCUGGGAAACUGGGUCUAAUACCGGAUAGGACCACUGCCUGCAUGGGUGGUGGCGGAAAGCUUUUGCGGGGUGGGAUGGGCCCGCGGCCUAUCAGCUUGUUGGGGGGGUGAUGGCCUACCAAGGCGACGACGGGUAGCCGGCCUGAGAGGGUGACCGGCCACACUGGGACUGAGAUACGGCCCAGACUCCUACGGGAGGCAGCAGUGGGGAAUAUUGCACAAUGGGCGCAAGCCUGAUGCAGCGACGCCGCGUGGGGGAUGACGGCCUUCGGGUUGUAAACCUCUUUCAGCACCGACGAAGCGCAAGUGACGGUAGGUGCAGAAGAAGGACCGGCCAACUACGUGCCAGCCGCCGCCGUAA